Molecule: ribosomal RNA, 31 nt
Filed under: Cercospora nicotianae
Lineage: Eukaryota; Fungi; Ascomycota; Dothideomycetes; Mycosphaerellales; Mycosphaerellaceae
Also listed under: 23 other names
Description: partial 18S ribosomal RNA
Source: RNAcentral
UCUCCGUAGGUGAACCUGCGGAGGGAUCAUU